This 865-nucleotide ribosomal RNA is filed under the name uncultured bacterium. RNAcentral's name for it is "bacterial SSU rRNA". It matches the Rfam family "Bacterial small subunit ribosomal RNA", at positions 21 to 880 of the family's 1533-position model. The record is from RNAcentral.
GGCUCAGGAUGAACGCUAGCGGCAGGCUUAAUACAUGCAAGUCGUGGGGCAGCAUGACUGUAGCAAUACAGUUGAUGGCGACCGGCAAACGGGUGCGGAACACGUACACAACCUUCCUUUAAGUGGGGAAUAGCCCAGAGAAAUUUGGAUUAAUACCCCGUAACAUAUAGAAGUGGCAUCACUUUUAUAUUAUAGCUCCGGCGCUUAAAGAUGGGUGUGCGGCUGAUUAGAUAGUUGGCGGGGUAACGGCCCACCAAGUCGACGAUCAGUAACUGGUGUGAGAGCACGACCAGUCACACGGGCACUGAGACACGGGCCCGACUCCUACGGGAGGCAGCAGUAAGGAAUAUUGGUCAAUGGACGCAAGUCUGAACCAGCCAUGCCGCGUGGAGGAUGAAGGUCCUCUGGAUUGUAAACUUCUUUUAUUUGGGAAGAAAUCUAUCUUUUCUUGGAUAGUUGACGGUACCAGAUGAAUAAGCACCGGCUAACUCCGUGCCAGCAGCCGCGGUAAUACGGAGGGUGCAAGCGUUAUCCGGAUUCACUGGGUUUAAAGGGUGCGUAGGUGGGCAGGUAAGUCAGUGGUGAAAUCUCCGGGCUUAACCCGGAAACUGCCAUUGAUACUAUCUGUCUUGAAUACCCUGGAGGUGAGCGGAAUAUGUCAUGUAGCGGUGAAAUGCUUAGAUAUGACAUAGAACACCCAUUGCGAAGGCAGCUCACUACGGGAAUAUUGACACUGAGGCACGAAAGCGUGGGGAUCAAACAGGAUUAGAUACCCUGGUAGUCCACGCCCUAAACUAUGGAUACUCGACAUCAGCGAUACACUGUUGGUGUCUGAGCGAAAGCAUUAAGUAUCCCACCUGGGAAG